CAAAUAGAUAUUUACACACCCAUGUUCACAACAGCACUAUUCACGAUAGACAAAAGGUGGAAGCAACCUCAGUGGCCAUCAAUGGAUGAAUGGAUGAACAAAACAUGGUCUAUACAUACAAUGGAAUAUUCAGUCUUAGAAAGGAGGGAAAUCUGGCCGGGCGCAGUGGCUCACGCCUGUAAUCCUAAUACUUUCGGAGGCCUAGGUGGGCAGAUCACUUAAGGUCGGGAGUUUAAGAUCAGCCUAGCCAACAUGGUGAAACCCCGUCUCUACUAAAAAUACAAAAAUGGGGCCUGCAGCAGCAGUUGAGAACGCCCCCAGGGCCGCUGGGCUCCUCCAGGACACACCUGGGGGAAACAAUCAAGUGCCAAGGGGAGCCUGGAAGAGAACAGGUGAGACGUCUGGAGUCCCACAGUGGGAAAAUAGAACAGGAGAAAGCUUCUCUUGAAGUGCUCACUGUACAUCAGGAACACUGCUCCCAUGACAGUGCCCUCGGGGUGGGAGGGGGUGCUGCAUUUCUGGCGACAGAGGGUGAGAGAUUGUAACUCAUAGUGGCCUCACAGGGCGAGGA
RNAcentral lists this long non-coding RNA (571 nucleotides) under Homo sapiens (human). RNAcentral describes it as "non-protein coding lnc-RASGEF1A-3:1". Lineage: Eukaryota; Metazoa; Chordata; Mammalia; Primates; Hominidae. The record is from RNAcentral.